This 68-nucleotide transfer RNA is filed under the name Nanonycteris veldkampii (Veldkamp's dwarf epauletted fruit bat). RNAcentral describes it as "tRNA-Arg". It matches the Rfam family "tRNA". From Rfam's summary of the family: Transfer RNA (tRNA) molecules are approximately 80 nucleotides in length. Lineage: Eukaryota; Metazoa; Chordata; Mammalia; Chiroptera; Pteropodidae. The record is from RNAcentral.
UGAUAAUUAGUUUAACAAAAACAAAUGAUUUCGACUCAUUAGAUUAUGAUCAUUCUCAUAAUUAUCAA